Molecule: ribosomal RNA, 469 nt
Filed under: uncultured bacterium
Lineage: Bacteria
Description: partial 16S ribosomal RNA
Rfam family: Bacterial small subunit ribosomal RNA
Source: RNAcentral
GACGAACGCUGGCGGCGUGCUUAACACAUGCAAGUCGAACGGUGAAGCGAGUGCUUGCACUCGUGGAUCAGUGGCGAACGGGUGAGUAACACGUGAGUAACCUGCCCAUCACUCUGGGAUAAGCACUGGAAACGGUGUCUAAUAAUGGAUACGACCAACCCUUGCAUGGGGUGUUGGUGGAAAGAUUUAUCGGUGAUGGAUGGACUCGCGGCCUAUCAGCUUGUUGGCGGGGUAAUGGCCCACCAAGGCGACGACGGGUAGCCGGCCUGAGAGGGUGACCGGCCACACUGGGACUGAGACACGGCCCAGACUCCUACGGGAGGCAGCAGUGGGGAAUAUUGCACAAUGGGCGAAAGCCUGAUGCAGCGACGCCGCGUGAGGGAUGACGGCCUUCGGGUUGUAAACCUCUUUCAGCAGGGAAGAAGCGAAAGUGACGGUACCUGCAGAAGAAGCACCGGCUAACUACGUG